UACGUAGGUGGCAAGCGUUGUCCGGAUUUACUGGGCGUAAAGGGCGCGUAGGCGGUCGUGACAAGUCACUUGUGAAAUCUCCGGGCUUAACUCGGAACGGUCAAGUGAUACUGUCGGACUAGAGUACAGAAGGGGCAACUGGAAUUCUCGGUGUAGCGGUGAAAUGCGUAGAUAUCGAGAGGAACACCUGCGGCGAAGGCGGGUUGCUGGGCUGAUACUGACGCUGAGGCGCGAAAGCCCAGGGGAGCGAACGGG
RNAcentral lists this ribosomal RNA (255 nucleotides) under uncultured bacterium. RNAcentral's name for it is "partial 16S ribosomal RNA". It matches the Rfam family "Bacterial small subunit ribosomal RNA", at positions 524 to 776 of the family's 1533-position model. The record is from RNAcentral.